Molecule: long non-coding RNA, 632 nt
Organism: Rosa chinensis
Lineage: Eukaryota; Viridiplantae; Streptophyta; Magnoliopsida; Rosales; Rosaceae
Exons: 5
Source: RefSeq, a predicted model, not a curated record
GGAACUUCAAGUUUGGAUGCCCAAGGUUAAUCCUACCAAUAAUUUCCCAUUAGAGUGUGUUAUAAGGAGAGUGUUCAGAAGCUCACGAGGGGAUGAAUGUAUGCUGCUUUGCCCUAUUGACACAUUGUGGAUCCAAAAACUGGAGAGGAGAGGCAUGUUACAAUUUAUGUGGAUGAUGGCAUCCGACCAAAUGCAAACAUGACUGAUUUGGUGAAAUUGAAGCCUGCAUUUAAAUCAGAUGGGACAACAACUGCAGGAAAUGCUAGCCAGGUAAGUGAUGGUGCUUGAGUAGUACUCCUGAUGAAGAGAAGUGUAGUUAUUCAGAAGGGACUUCCUAUUAUUGGUGUUUUCAGUGGGAAAGAAAAGCAAAUCACUACACAAUGGAGAAUGUUGGUGUUGUCCGGGCAGAGUAGGCAAAGUAUGUUCUUAAGUUUAAAGAUAGCUAGUGUGUAGGUUAAUUAGUAGUUGGAGAUAUGUAGCAUCAGCUUUUGGACAUGCAUAGUUGAUAUAUAGGCCAGACUUUGACUUAUAGUACUGCUAGCUAUUUUGCUGUGUUGUUUAGCUGGUUGCCCAGAUUGUUAAGUGCUUCUGGUUUAUUAGCUUGCAGUACUGCAUGCAUAUAUUUUGUUGGC